CUCAUUAAAUCAGUUAUAGUUUAUUUGAUGGUCUCUUUUGUCUUUUUUUACCUACUUGGAUAACCGUGGUAAUUCUAGAGCUAAUACAUGCGCAAGGUCCCGAGCGCGGGGGGCAGGGGCUUCACGGCCCUGUCCUCGCAUGCGCAGAGGGAUGUAUUUAUUAGGUUAAAAACCAGCACGCUGGCGACAGCGUCCAAUUCACUGGUGAUUCAUAGUAACUCUUUCGGAUCGCAUUCAUG
This 239-nucleotide ribosomal RNA is filed under the name uncultured Acanthamoeba. Its description in RNAcentral is "partial 18S ribosomal RNA". It matches the Rfam family "Eukaryotic small subunit ribosomal RNA", at positions 97 to 279 of the family's 1831-position model. The record is from RNAcentral. Lineage: Eukaryota; Discosea; Longamoebia; Acanthamoebidae.